GCAAGGAAGAGGAAGAAAGAGUCUGUCUAAGAGCAGUGGGAAUGGGAACAUGGAGGAAAGCAUGAGCUAUGAGCUGGUAGCACCUCCAAAAUUAGAAGUGGGCAUUUGUCUCAUUGCUUUCCUGGUGCCUCCCAUUCCUAUUGUUCUUAGGUGCUCCUUCCUCUUCCGUUGGCUU
Molecule: microRNA precursor, 175 nt
Filed under: Sorghum bicolor (sorghum)
Lineage: Eukaryota; Viridiplantae; Streptophyta; Magnoliopsida; Poales; Poaceae
Description: pre miRNA MIR2118
Rfam family: MIR2118 microRNA precursor family
Source: Rfam by way of RNAcentral